This 416-nucleotide long non-coding RNA is filed under the name Physcomitrium patens. RNAcentral describes it as "long non-coding RNA (PPAT_LNC000114)". Lineage: Eukaryota; Viridiplantae; Streptophyta; Bryopsida; Funariales; Funariaceae. The record is from RNAcentral.
AACUACUUGUUUGACAACUAAUUUCUAACACUCAAUACUAUUGUCAAUGCUUCGUAGUGGUACCAAAAUAUAAUUGUUAUUUUACUUACUUUUCAAAUUCUACCUAAAUUAAACUUGUAAAGGGGAGUUUGAACACAUAGAAAGACUAUGCGCAUGAAUUUAUACAUUAGGAUCACACAAUUAAUUAUCCUUUUUUCUACUAAAAAUACCUCAAAAUACUACAAUGCCUUCCACAUUCUAUCAAUUCUUCUUCUAAUAAAUAAAAUAUUACAAUUAAUAAUUCUAUCUAAUACAUUCACUAUCUCUUCUCCUCUCUAAACUCAUAAUAAUGACAUGUAAUAUUAUAUUAUCUUAAAAGAUUGCAUAAAAUAUUCUAUAAUCCAAUCACUAAAAAUUUUCAAAAUUAACUAUCAUUC